UACGUAGGGUCCGAGCGUUGUCCGGAGUUACUGGGCGUAAAGCGCGCGCAGGCGGCGGUGUUGGCCCGGCGUGAAAGCCCCCGGCUCAACCGGGGAGAGUCGUCGGGGACCGCACCGCUUGAGGGCGGUAGGGGCUGGUGGAAUGCCUGGUGUAGUGGUGAAAUGCGUAGAGAUCAGGCAGAACACCUAUGGCGAAGGCAGCUCUCUGGGACGGUACUGACGCUGAGACGCGAAAGCGUGGGGAGCGAACAGG
RNAcentral lists this ribosomal RNA (253 nucleotides) under uncultured bacterium. RNAcentral's name for it is "partial 16S ribosomal RNA". It matches the Rfam family "Bacterial small subunit ribosomal RNA", at positions 524 to 776 of the family's 1533-position model. The record is from RNAcentral.